UGGGGAAUAUUGGACAAUGGGCGAGAGCCUGAUCCAGCCAUGCCGCGUGCAGGAAGAAGGCGUUAUGCGUUGUAAACUGCUUUUUGCCAGGGGAUAAAAAGACCGUGCGCGGUUAAUUGAAGGUACCUGGUGAAUAAGCCACGGCUAACUACGUGCCAGCAGCCGCGGUAAUACGUAGGUGGCAAGCGUUGUCCGGAUUUAUUGGGUUUAAAGGGUGCGUAGGUGGCCCUGUAAGUCAGUGGUGAAAUAUCUCAGCUUAACUGAGAGGGUGCCAUUGAUACUGCAGGGCUUGAGUACAGAUGAGGUAGGCGGAAUUGACGGUGUAGCGGUGAAAUGCAUAGAUAUCGUCAAGAACACCGAUAGCGAAGGCAGCUUACCAAGCUGUAACUGGCACUGAGGCACGAAAGUGUGGGGAGCAAACAGGAUUAGAUACCCCCGUAGUCCCUGAGCGGGCUGGCAAGGCGCAU
This 467-nucleotide ribosomal RNA is filed under the name uncultured bacterium. RNAcentral describes it as "bacterial SSU rRNA". It matches the Rfam family "Bacterial small subunit ribosomal RNA", at positions 355 to 825 of the family's 1533-position model. The record is from RNAcentral.